RNAcentral lists this ribosomal RNA (700 nucleotides) under Pseudoperonospora cubensis. Its description in RNAcentral is "LSU rRNA". It matches the Rfam family "Eukaryotic large subunit ribosomal RNA", at positions 442 to 1095 of the family's 3401-position model. Lineage: Eukaryota; Oomycota; Peronosporomycetes; Peronosporales; Peronosporaceae. The record is from RNAcentral.
CGAGGAGGUAGGGCUUACGCUUGCGUUUGUCUGUUAUAUCUUGGUGGACGAGUUGUCGCGGUUGGGACUGAGGUGCCUACAACGUGCUUUUGAGUGAGUUUGUGUCUCCGUGUGCGCCGUGUGCGGAUAGCUUGCUAUGUAUGUGCGGUUGUGUGUGGAUUGAUGCGGGCUUUAACUUGUCGCCGUUCGGGACGUUGGCGAAAUGGAGCGAUCCGACCCGUCUUGAAACACGGACCAAGGAGUCUAACAUGUGUGCAAGUGUUAGGGUGUGGAAACCCCAGCGCGAAAUGAAAGUGAAGGGCAGCGCAAGUUGUCUGAGGUAGGAAACGUUGCGGACCUCGGUCUGCGGCGUGGCACUAUCGACCGAUCAUGAACCUUCGUGGUGAAAGAUUUGAGUUUGAGCACAUAUGUUGGUACCCGAAAGAUGGUGAACUAUGCCUGAGUAGGGUGAAGCCAGGGGAAACUCUGGUGGAAGCUCGUAGCGAUUCUGACGUGCAAAUCGAUCGUCAAACUUGGGUAUAGGGGCGAAAGACUAAUCGAACCAUCUAGUAGCUGGUUCCCUCCGAAAUUUCCCUCAGGAUAGCAGCAACUUAUUUACGAUAGUUUUAUGAGGUAAAGCGAAUGAUUAGAGGAUUCGGGGAAGAAACUUCCUCGACCUAUUCUCAAACUUUAAAUCUGUAAGACCUGCAGGUUUCUUAAU